RNAcentral lists this ribosomal RNA (468 nucleotides) under uncultured bacterium. RNAcentral describes it as "partial 16S ribosomal RNA". It matches the Rfam family "Bacterial small subunit ribosomal RNA", at positions 28 to 507 of the family's 1533-position model. The record is from RNAcentral.
GACGAACGCUGGCGGCGUGCUUAACACAUGCAAGUCGAACGGAAAGGCCCUGCUUUUGUGGGGUGCUCGAGUGGCGAACGGGUGAGUAACACGUGAGUAACCUGCCCUUGACUUUGGGAUAACUUCAGGAAACUGGGGCUAAUACCGGAUAGGAGCUCCUGCUGCAUGGUGGGGGUUGGAAAGUUUCGGCGGUUGGGGAUGGACUCGCGGCUUAUCAGCUUGUUGGUGGGGUAGUGGCUUACCAAGGCUUUGACGGGUAGCCGGCCUGAGAGGGUGACCGGCCACAUUGGGACUGAGAUACGGGCCAGACUCCUACGGGAGGCAGCAGUGGGGAAUAUUGCACAAUGGGCGGAAGCCUGAUGCAGCAACGCCGCGUGCGGGAUGACGGCCUUCGGGUUGUAAACCGCUUUAGCCUGUGACGAAGCGUGAGUGACGGUAAUGGGUAAAGAAGCACCGGCUAACUACGUG